Molecule: ribosomal RNA, 490 nt
Filed under: Nicidion cariboea
Lineage: Eukaryota; Metazoa; Annelida; Polychaeta; Eunicida; Eunicidae
Description: partial 16S ribosomal RNA
Rfam family: Bacterial large subunit ribosomal RNA
Source: RNAcentral
UGCCUGAAGACCCUCCCAUUUCAGGUAAACCCUGCCCAGUGACCCGCUUUAACGGCCGCGGUACCCUGACCGUGCUAAGGUAGCGUAAUCAUUUGCCUUCUAAUUGGAGGCCUGUAUGAACGGGUAAACGAAAACUAAGCUGUCUCCAGUAUACCUCUAAAAAUUUAUCUUCAGGUGAAGAAGCCUGAAUAUCUAUAAAAGACAAGAAGACCCUGCGAGCUCUCCCCCUCCCACAACAUAUACCCUUCCCACAAGAAGGGGGGGGUUUAUUGGGGCAAUAAUGGAGUAAAAAAAACCUCCAGCACAACCACGACCUCAAGUCACCCAAAUGAUCCCCAAAAGAUCAAAGAAACCAGCUACCGCAGGGAUAACAGACUAAUUUUUCUUAAGAGACCAAAUCUACAGAAAAGUUUGGCACCUCGAUGUUGGCUUAAGGUUCUCUUAAAUGCAUCAGUUUAAGCCAGUGGGUUUGUUCAACCCUUAAAACCUU